UCAUGAAGAGGGCACAAGAGGUGGCUUCCUCUCAGAUGAAAGGCAGACAGUGUGCACAUUGCAAUCUCAGCACUCUCCUGCAUUAUGGAUCUGCUCCCGGGCUGUACUGCUUGCUAGCACAGACACAGCUGCAAUAUAUUUAUUGCACUUUAAAAUCUCUUCAUGGCAUUUGGGAGUUUACACCAUCUUGUUUACGAUGUUGAGUCCAGCCUCAGCAGUAUGGAAGAAAAAUCUGGCUCUGUUUCUGAGCAAUUCUAGUUAUGGGAAGUCAUAAGCAGGCCAUGUUUGCUGGUGAAGUUUAAGGAAAGCCAAACCACUGAAAUGGAUGAAGUCCCUGAACAGCAGAAACCAUCAGAAACCAAAGCUGCCUUGAACUGCUCACGCUGCCGUGGCCAGCAGGCAGCUCUCCGUGAAUGCAAAGAAAUCCUCAGUUUCAAUUCAUUCUCAUAAUUGUACUCCACAUACACUGUUAAUCCACAUUUUAACUAACUGGCAUAUAAAAGAAAUUCCUGCUUUAUGUGGAAGAAUUACUGUGUGGUGAUAAGAUGUGCUAGUGCUAAAAUCCUGCAGGAUUAGAACCUACCACAAAUAAUCAGGAAUACUUUAUUUCAUUAACAAGCCUAAUCAAAACAUGUUAGUCAACAAUUUUUCCAGCAUGUUAAAUAUAUUGCUAACUAAUUAAGAAAAUUCAAAAUAAUUGCUUGGAUUCAAUUUUCCCAUCCAAAUGAAACUUACUGCAAGUUAUGAACCAAUGAGCAGGCAUCUAGUAGGAACAGACAGACAACAGUUAGUGUCUCUUAAUACAUAAAAAAACAUAAAAUUUCAAGGGCCUUUAUCAAAAUUCCAGGCUGGCAAUGGCUUUAAAACACACAGGUGUAUUCAGAAAAAAGUCAACAUAUUGCUGCUGGUGGUGGCAGCCGCCUCUUCUGAUGGUAGAAGUUGCCUAUGCAUGGUUCCCCUCCACAAAACACAUUCCAAGUACCUGAGAACUGUGGGAAGGGUGGAGAUGCCAGAGAGCUCCUCAGGCAGGAGAUGCCAGGAGCAGCUUGGGACAAUGGCAGGGAGGGAGGGGCUGCUCACACACUCAUAGGACUGGCUGGCUCACACCCUCCAGCAGGCUGUGGUCACUCACCUCCCUGUGGAAAAGGGCACAUGAACAGCUCAUGAACAGCAGGCCACCCUUGAUAUGUUGCAUCUGAGGGGGAUGCAAAGCACGGCCAAACUGAGUUUCAAAGUGUUGCAGUUGUGUAAAAAUAUCUUAAGUUGGUUACCAACAAACAGAGAAAGGGAAAAAAAAAUCUGUCAGGGAGGGGUGAGCAGGAAAACAUGGCCUGAAGCACAAAAACAAGGCAGAAAUUGAUUAUUUGAAUGAAGCUUUCCCAACUGCUGAUCUAAUCAGCAAUUAAAGCAGCAAUUCAAAUCAAUGUAGCCUGGUGUUAUCUCACCCUCUAAAGUUUCAUAUAUUUUAUUUACACAUAAUUAAUAAACUUCCUAUGACAUGUCCUGGAUUUUAGAGUACAGAAGGUAGUGGAUCGAAAGGAAUUAAAAUGCUGCACUCUGCUGCUUUUCCAUUUGAGUGCAAAUAAUAUCAACAGAACUCAGGCAUUCACUCCAGUAAUGGGAAAAUGGCAUCAGAAAAAUGUCUCUCUGCUUAUUCAAAUCUUUAGCUGGGGGAGAGUCAGGAGCAGCAUUAACAUUUAUUAGACUGCAAACCAUACUAUGCAGAUCUCUGGCACCAAAGUGUGAAAUCCUGAAUUGGUACAAGCUUGUAAGACAGACCAUUUUUACUGUUAGAGGGAGAACAGAGAAAAAGAACAAAAAAAAAAAAGAAGAGCAAUUGUGGCUUUUCAUCAAGUAUAUUUCAUAAUUGUCCAUUAAAAUACAUACCUACAUCACAAAACACUUUAAAAAAACCAAGUAUUUUAAAUGUAUGUACAAUAAUGCAAAAAUAUGCCUAAAUAUGUAUCUAAUGCAAAAAAAUAAA
Melospiza melodia melodia is the source of this 1984-nucleotide long non-coding RNA. RefSeq lists it as uncharacterized. The transcript has 3 exons. Lineage: Eukaryota; Metazoa; Chordata; Aves; Passeriformes; Passerellidae. The record is from RefSeq and is a predicted model, not a curated record.